RNAcentral lists this transfer RNA (73 nucleotides) under Taphrina deformans PYCC 5710. Its description in RNAcentral is "tRNA-Arg (CCT) (tRNA-Arg-CCT-1-1)". It matches the Rfam family "tRNA". Rfam says of the family: Transfer RNA (tRNA) molecules are approximately 80 nucleotides in length. The record is from RNAcentral. Lineage: Eukaryota; Fungi; Ascomycota; Taphrinomycetes; Taphrinales; Taphrinaceae.
GCCCGAUUGGCCUAAUGGUUACGGCGUCGCUUUCCUAAGGCGAAGAUUGUGGGUUCGAGUCCCAUGUCGGGUU